Molecule: ribosomal RNA, 370 nt
Filed under: Burkholderiales bacterium
Lineage: Bacteria; Pseudomonadati; Pseudomonadota; Betaproteobacteria; Burkholderiales
Description: bacterial SSU rRNA
Rfam family: Bacterial small subunit ribosomal RNA
Source: RNAcentral
AGAUCAAACUAUAGAGUUUGAUCCUGGCUCAGAUUGAACGCUGGCGGCAUGCUUUACACAUGCAAGUCGAACGGUAGGGUAGCAAUACCUGAGAGUGGCGAACGGGUGAGUAAUGCAUCGGAACAUGCCUAUUUGUGGGGGAUAGCCCGGCGAAAGCCGGAUUAAUACCGCAUACGAUCUACGGAUGAAAGCUGGGGACCGCAAGGCCUAGCGCAAAUAGAGUGGCCGAUGUCAGAUUAGCUAGUUGGUGGGGUAAAGGCUCACCAAGGCAACGAUCUGUAGCUGGUUUGAGAGAACGACCAGCCACACUGGGACUGAGACACGGCCCAGACUCCUACGGGAGGCAGCAGUGGGGAAUUUUGGACAAUGG